This is a long non-coding RNA of Manduca sexta (tobacco hornworm), 690 nucleotides long. RefSeq lists it as uncharacterized. The record is from RefSeq and is a predicted model, not a curated record. NCBI's taxonomy places the organism in Eukaryota, Metazoa, Arthropoda, Insecta, Lepidoptera, Sphingidae. The transcript has 2 exons.
AGGCAAAAAAGGUACUCGUUAUUAACAUUAAGAAAAAUGCGGCCCGCCUUUACUUCAUUUUGCCGCUAUGUGGCCCUUACGUACUGAAAGGUUAUGAACCACUGCCAUAAGAAAAUAAAUUAUAAAAACAGGAUAUAAGAAUAUAAAGCCGUCUUUCACUCGCUGUUCCGUCCUUAAGUGUAGCCUAUAUUAGGUCUAGGAUUUCGUCAUCCGGAGUGGACCAGAGCCACUAAGUCUGUGAGACCCGACUGAUAAUGUAACAUGGUGCAAAGGAUAUUCGAUUACACCAUAUUAUUAAAAAAUAUGCAAUGUGUAUGAAUCAUUGCGUACGCCUAUCUGGAUAGCGUAGGCAUCUUCCUAUUGGAAUCACUCGGUUCAGUCAGUAAGUUAUCGACCAUUGUACAAACAAGUUUCCUGCUCACAGUGGAUAAUCGAUUUCUAUUUUGAAAAGUGACAAAAGUGUUUUUUUAUAUCUUUAUAGUUGGAUUGAUAAAGAUUAGUCGGAACCUGCUUAGGCGUUGCAGUUUGGUAAUAGAAAGUCAUUGACAAAUAUAAAUUGAGCAUCUCGCACAAUAUACAAAUACGCACAAAUAACGCAGAAUCGGUGCCAAUCAGUCUUCAACAGAAGGAUUUGACUGACUUUGAAGACGGAUAAGUUCUUACAUCGCGAAAAUGGUCGACUUCUAUAUC